This 253-nucleotide ribosomal RNA is filed under the name uncultured bacterium. Its description in RNAcentral is "partial 16S ribosomal RNA". It matches the Rfam family "Bacterial small subunit ribosomal RNA", at positions 524 to 776 of the family's 1533-position model. The record is from RNAcentral.
UACGAAGGGUGCGAGCGUUAUUCGGAAUCACUGGGCGUAAAGAGUGCGUAGACGGUAUGUUAAGUUUGUCGUUAAAGACUCUGGCCUAACCAGAGGGUUGCGAUGAAAACUGGCAAGCUAGAGGGUGAGAGAGAGAAGUGGAAUUCCCGGAGUAGCGGUAAAAUGCGUGGAUCUCGGGAGGAACACCAAUGGCGAAGGCAGCUUCUUGGCUCAUUCCUGACGUUGAGGCACGAAAGCGUGGGGAGCGAACAGG